AACGCUGGCGGCGUGCCUAACACAUGCAAGUCGAACGGAGUAUACAUUUUAGAUCUCUUCGGAGUGACGAGGUGUAGACUUAGUGGCGGACGGGUGAGUAACGCGUGAGCAAUCUGCCUCAGGGAGGGGGAUAACACAGAGAAAUCUGUGCUAAUACCGCAUGACAUAUCGGAACCACAUGAUUCUGAUAUCAAAACUCCGGUGCCCUGAGAUGAGCUCGCGUCCGAUUAGCUAGUUGGUAGGGUAACGGCCUACCAAGUCGACGAUCAGUAGCCGAACUGAGAGGUUGAUCGGCCACAUUGGGACUGAGACACGGCCCAGACUCCUACGGGAGGCAGCAGUGGGGGAUAUUGCGCAAUGGGGGAAACCCUGACGCAGCAACGCCGCGUGCAGGAUGACGGCCUUCGGGUUGUAAACUGUUGUCGCAAGGGAAGAAGAAAGUGACGGUACCUUGUGAGAAAGCCACGGCUAACUACGUG
This 479-nucleotide ribosomal RNA is filed under the name uncultured bacterium. Its description in RNAcentral is "bacterial SSU rRNA". It matches the Rfam family "Bacterial small subunit ribosomal RNA", at positions 32 to 507 of the family's 1533-position model. The record is from RNAcentral.